CUCGCCUACAUAAAGCUGGAGUUACUAGUAAUCGCAGAUCAGAAUGCUGCGGUGAAUGCGUUCCCGGGUCUUGUACACACCGCCCGUCACACCACGGAAGUUGGGGGCGCCCGAAGCCACUUAGCUAACCCUUUUGGGAAGCGAGUGUCGAAGGUUGAAAUCAAUAACUGGGGUGAAGUCGUAACAAGGUAUC
RNAcentral lists this ribosomal RNA (193 nucleotides) under uncultured bacterium. RNAcentral describes it as "partial 16S ribosomal RNA". It matches the Rfam family "Bacterial small subunit ribosomal RNA", at positions 1311 to 1500 of the family's 1533-position model. The record is from RNAcentral.